GGGGGACAACCCGCCGAAAGGCGGGCUAAACCCGCGUACAUGCCACCGGGGCAUCCCGGAGGCAGGAAAGGCUUCGGCCGGACAGGGAUGGGCAUGCGGCGCAUUAGGCAGUAGGCGGGGUAACGGCCCACCUAACCGACGAUGCGUAGGGGUUCUGAGAGGAAGGUCCCCCACACUGGUACUGAGACACGGACCAGACUCCUACGGGAGGCAGCAGUGAGGAAUAUUGGUCAAUGGUCGGGAGACUGAACCAGCCAAGCCGCGUGAGGGAUGAAGGUACAGAGUAUCGUAAACCUCUUUUGUCAGGGAACAAAGGCGGGGACGUGUCCCCGGAUGAGUGUACCUGAAGAAAAAGCAUCGGCUAACUCCGUGCCAGCAGCCGCGGUAAUACGGAGGAUGCGAGCGUUAUCCGGAUUUAUUGGGUUUAAAGGGUGCGCAGGCGGUCUGUUAAGUCAGCGGUCAAAGCCCGGGGCUCAACCCCGGCCCGCCGUUGAAACUGGCAGUCUUGAGUUGGAGAGAAGUAUGCGGAAUGCGCGGUGUAGCGGUGAAAUGCAUAGAUAUCGCGCAGAACUCCGAUUGCGAAGGCAGCAUGCCGGCUCCACACUGACGCUGAGGCACGAAAGCGUGGGUAUCGAACAGGAUUAGAUACCCUGGUAGUCCACGCAGUAAAC
Molecule: ribosomal RNA, 671 nt
Filed under: uncultured bacterium
Lineage: Bacteria
Description: bacterial SSU rRNA
Rfam family: Bacterial small subunit ribosomal RNA
Source: RNAcentral